CGAACGCUGGCGGCAGGCCUACCACAUGCAAGUCGAACGGAUCCUUCGGGAUUAGUGGCGGACGGGUGAGUAACACGUGGGAACGUGCCCUUUGGUUCGGAACAACUCAGGGAAACUUGAGCUAAUACCGGAUGUGCCCUUCGGGGGAAAGAUUUAUCGCCAUUGGAGCGGCCCGCGUCUGAUUAGCUAGUUGGUGAGGUAACGGCCCACCAAGGCGACGAUCAGUAGCUGGUCUGAGAGGAUGAUCAGCCACACUGGGACUGAGACACGGCCCAGACUCCUACGGGAGGCAGCAGUGGGGAAUCUUGCGCAAUGGGCGAAAGCCUGACGCAGCCAUGCCGCGUGAAUGAUGAAGGUCUUAGGAUUGUAAAAUUCUUUCAGCGGGGACGAUAAUGACGGUACCCGCAGAAGAAGCGCCGGCUAACUUCGUG
RNAcentral lists this ribosomal RNA (431 nucleotides) under uncultured bacterium. RNAcentral's name for it is "partial 16S ribosomal RNA". It matches the Rfam family "Bacterial small subunit ribosomal RNA", at positions 30 to 507 of the family's 1533-position model. The record is from RNAcentral.